AAGGUGGAAAGAACCAAGUGUGG
RNAcentral lists this non-coding RNA (23 nucleotides) under Arabidopsis thaliana (thale cress). Lineage: Eukaryota; Viridiplantae; Streptophyta; Magnoliopsida; Brassicales; Brassicaceae. The record is from RNAcentral.